GCUCAGAUUGAACGCUGGCGGCAGGCCUAACACAUGCAAGUCGAGCGGAUGACAGGAGCUUGCUCCUGAAUUCAGCGGCGGACGGGUGAGUAAUGCCUAGGAAUCUGCCUGGUAGUGGGGGACAACGUUUCGAAAGGAACGCUAAUACCGCAUACGUCCUACGGGAGAAAGCAGGGGACCUUCGGGCCUUGCGCUAUCAGAUGAGCCUAGGUCGGAUUAGCUAGUUGGUGAGGUAAUGGCUCACCAAGGCGACGAUCCGUAACUGGUCUGAGAGGAUGAUCAGUCACACUGGAACUGAGACACGGUCCAGACUCCUACGGGAGGCAGCAGUGGGGAAUAUUGGACAAUGGGCGAAAGCCUGAUCCAGCCAUGCCGCGUGUGUGAAGAAGGUCUUCGGAUUGUAAAGCACUUUAAGUUGGGAGGAAGGGCAUUAACCUAAUACGUUAGUGUUUAGACGUACCGACAG
Molecule: ribosomal RNA, 466 nt
Filed under: Pseudomonas jessenii
Lineage: Bacteria; Pseudomonadati; Pseudomonadota; Gammaproteobacteria; Pseudomonadales; Pseudomonadaceae
Description: bacterial SSU rRNA
Rfam family: Bacterial small subunit ribosomal RNA
Source: RNAcentral